AGACUUUGUCUACUUAUACUUUUCUCCUUACUAAAGUUUCUCUUUCAUAAUUUUUUUUUUUUUUUUUUUUUGCUUUGAGUAUCCAGUUUCCCCACCUUUAGUGAGACUAGUCCCGUUCGAGGACCGGUCGCAGAGUCCAACUCUUAUUCGAGAGUAAAGGUUUGGACCAAAAUUUCUCAAGACGCCAAAUACAAGAGUCGAACAUGCGAUUUCUCGUUGACAUUAGUAACCUGAUUACCAACUGCCUCAAACUCGUAGGUUUCUCUAUUUCAUAGUUAACGAACUUUGAACGCAAACUUUUGCGCGUCCGAUCUAGACUGCUUUCCUUCCUUCAGGGAAACUCUCUUUUUUUUUGUUUCCUUUUUCUUUUGAGGUAGACCUACGUAGACUUCUAAAGUCGUUGGUCAUUGUACUAAAGUCAUCGUUGUUUUGCUUGUUAGCCCCAGUUGGUGGUACACGAAACUUUAAGAGCAUUUUCCAUAUCGGAUAGGUGUUGAUAGAAGUAUGGACGUUGAGCUUUCAUUGUCAUCUACAGAUAUCACAUAGUAAAUAUGUCAAAUUAGCGUUUUGAUACCGGCAUUAAUUAGUCAAGUCGUUCUUACUUCUAGCGUUUUGGUACAGGCAUUAAUUAGUCAAGUCAUCCUUACUUCUAUCAAUUUUGGGAUUCAACUAUAAGGGGCAGAAACAUGCAGCUAGGACCUACUUAGCAAUUCUGCUUGUAGGGGCACAAAAACAUAGUAUCUUAUCUUGUUUUUAUUCUUAGUUCCUACAAUUCUAUUCUUCUCUUUUUUUUCUUUCUUUUUCCACACGGAGAUGGCAAACCAAGUUGAAUGUAGACAAGGAAUCUCUUUUGAUUUAUUGAUGACCAGAAGGAAAUUCUUAUCGGACAAAUUCAGUCAGAUUUUGUUGUAUUUGCAUUUCCAAGCAAUUUCAUACUGGGCUCCAUAUCCAUUGAUACUUAGGACGAAGAUGCAUUUAUUUUAUUAUACAUGAAAAUUCUACUGAGUGAUGGAAAACGUAGCUGGGUUAAUACUCUACCCACUCUUUUCCAUAACAAAGUCACAAGUUAGCAAUUACUACUUUGUAACUAAUUGCGGUUUAUAAUUUUCGAAAGAAAAAAAAAACCAACUGCGUAAAAUCAACUAAUUGUGUCAUUGAUUAAAAAAGUAUUUUAGUUCCACACUUCCAUUGGAAUAAAAAUGCCAACACUACAUUGGCUAAUCCAUGAAUAGUAAUCCCAAUCUCAAUUACAAAUUCAGGAAAAGUUACACCCUUAUGAAUUUUGCAGCUUCCAAUUCCCAUUUUUCACGUUUUUCUUUCUUUUUAUUUUUUUUCUCUUUUAACUUUUAGAGGCUUGAAAUUCUAUUGACCUGGGAGGCUUUCACAUUUCCACGAUAGACCCGUAGGAUUGAGAUAUAUAGUGUUUAUUGGGAUCCACUCAUAAAAUGAUGGACAUUGAUAACUGAUUAUCGACUUGAAUUCUGAGGGAACCAUUUGUAUGCUGAUUAAUUCUACACUUGUUGCAGAUUUGAUCUCAUAAUUAAUAAAAUUAUUCUAUUUUAUUAUUUAAAAAAUUCUGAGGGAAGUAAAUCCCGAUUUCAAUACUGAGUCCUUCAUUGUUCUUAUUAUUUUCCAAUUUACUCCUCCUGUUGUUAAUGUUGCAGAAUAGUCUUUUUCCUUGUGAGCCCAGUUGAUGGCAACACGAAAAUCAAGUCGAGUAAAUCCAAAAAAUUUUAAAAGAGAAAAAAUCUCAACACUUUUUUUUUUUUGAUAAUAGAAAAAAUCUCAAGACUUAGAUGGGAUCUUUAACAAUUCGCACGCUAAAUGUCUUAUUGAAAAAUGCGUCCGCCUAAAUCUCUUACUGGUUAGUGUUUUCCAUACAUAGAAAAAUCGUACUUUAAUGAGUUAUAAAGACCUAGUUGUUUCCUUUGUAUUGUUUAUUGAUUUCUUGCAAUUCAAAAUUAUGUAAAUAUUAUUAUUGUCCCAUGUUGGGCUUGAACCUGAAAAAAAAUAAAAUCAAAUCAAUCUCGCUGAGUAAGAUGAAUCUCCAAUAAAGACUAAGAUAAUUGUUUUGAACUAAGAACAUCAAAAUUUUUGAGGUAGGAGUAAUAGCACAUAACUUCCCCGAAUCUACUUUUUAGUCAAUAUUAGAGCAGGCAUAACGACACAGUUAUCCGAAAGAAAAGCUUAAAGUUUUGUAGUAGCACAAAAUUUCUGUAAUCUGCUGCUUAACAAUCGCAAGUUUUUGAAUCAAUUUUAAGCCAAGUUCAGAGAUCAGAGUAACCACAACAAUGUAACUAUAAGGAAGACUGAACCAAUCCUUAUUCUUGUUUUGAAUGCGCUAGAAGAACCUUAAUAUAUUUGUGUCCGAUUGAAAAGUUUUCGGGUGCCUUCACUACAAAUCAUUAGGGUGAUGCAUGAGGAGAAGAAAAGGUGUCGAGCCUGCAUAAUAAUAAAUACUUACGCGACAGAAAUACAAAUUUUGUAUAUAGCGGUGAACAGGGUCGAAUCCACAGGAAUUGGGGAUGAUUCGUUUCUUCUAGAAUUCAGAAUAUGAGGGGAUUUAAAAAAUAUAAAAUAACUAAUUAACUAACUAAUGAAACAACUAAUAGAAAUAAACAGGAAUUAAACAAUAACCAAUAACCAAUAACCAAUACAACUCUAGUUAAAGGUGCAAUUUUUCAGAUACGGUCCAUUUAACUAAUAAUCUAUGUAAAGAUAAUUCAAUUACUCACUAAUAGAUUGGUUAUAGUUGUCAUGCACGCGAUAAACAACCAGUCUUUCCUUACUUUUUCGAUAGUCAAGGUACGAUCAUUAACUAUUUCUCUAACCAAAAAAUAAUCCUAGGUACGAUCAUAGGAUUUAAUUUCUCGAUUGCAAUAAGAAUUAGAAAAAUUUAACUCUAACUAACAAAUACGCUACGAGGAUUCGUUUAAGUUAGAUCAUACGUUUCCCUAACAUGAAACCAAUCACGCUAGUUGCCACUGGUAUUAAUCAAUUGAAUAAUUACGGAUUCAACCAAUUAAUCUAGUAGUAGAUUAUUAGGUUAAUUCGAAUAUCAGGGCAUUGAUAUUCAAAUAACAUAACAAUCAUAAAAAGUUAAAUUAGGAAACGUACAAAUACUAAUAAAUAAAAGAAAAUAAGUAAAAUAAUUUGAUCUCACAAAUGUUUGGAACCGAGUUCUCAAAUUGGCCUUCGACUAGAAAAUAAAGAUUCAGCUACACAUUCUCAAGGGAAAUCCAUGAAAUUUCCUUGAAGCCAUUCGCAUGAGUAUUCCACUGAAAGGAAGAAAAAAUGCCGAGAUCAGCCAAGUGGCAGUCUCCCCUUUUCUUGUUCCCUGGCCAAGGUAGUAAUCACGUGGGAUUCUGGCCUUUUUUCCUCUUUGUUUCCUAAUUGAAGUCUACUACUUCGCCCAUCCAUUGGCCAACCAAAAAUAGAAUUCUAAUUGCAAAAGGAAACUUCUCCAAAUAAUGCUAAUUGUUUCCUAAUAAGACAUCUAAUAAAAAGUGGCAAUCCCCUAAUCUUCAACCAAUACUCCACGUAGACUCUAUCUUAAUUUGGAAAACUCUUGAAAAAUCCCCUCUUUUAUUACUUUUUACUCCACCUUCCUACAAUUGACACAAAAUACCAAAUAUAAGUAGAAUCAAUCAAUUAAUACAAUAUUUGGUAAUAUAAACGAGGGAAACAAUCAUAAAAUUAAUGAUAAAAAUGUAACCUAUCAUUAGGGUGAUGCAUGAGGAGAGGAAAACAAUGUAAACAUUAAUGUAUAAUUUUUUUUUUUUUGAAAAAAACUAAUGACGAAUGAUGUAUAUGAUAAAAGAAAGUAUGAAAUAUUCGUGAAAAGUGCUAAUUAGCUCAAAUAUCAAGAUCAGCUUUUGGAGAAGUUUUUCUUGGGGAAAUUUUGGAAAGGGGAACAGGAAAAUUUUAAAUUCAUGAGAAGGGAAUAAGUUUUAAGAAAUUUGUAAAUGGGUUAUUGAUUACUAUUCUUAUAUUAAGCAAAAAAUUAGUGCUGCAGGAAAAUCAUGAAUGUGUACAUAUGUUAUUAUAACAUUGUUAUAUGUUCACAAUUUCAGUAUACACACGUACAUAAAUAUCAAUUUAAAUAUACACUAUAUAUAUAUAUAUAUAUAUAUAUAUAUAUAAGAGAUGUACAUAUAUAUUCAUUAAGCGUACAUUUUUAUUCAUUAAGAUCCAAAUUACUGUUUAAUAAAAUGCACACAGUUAUAAGGGUGAAUUGGACAUCUAAUAAUAAAUUUAUUUGCUUUUAUAAUUCACGAAUACUAAACCCUAUCUCAAUUACAAAUUCAGGAAAAAUUACAAUCUUAUGACUUUUGCAUCUUUCAAUUUGCAUUUUUCACAUUUUUCUUUCUUUCCUUUUUUUCCACUUAACUUUUAGACCCUCGAAUUUGGAGUGAUCUGUGGAGUAUCAACACUACUCCACCAACCAUGCGUUUUCUUUUAUUGGAAUGACGACCAUUGGCAGCUGAAUCUUGAAUUCUGAGGAAGGCAAAACUCGACUUGAAUGCUGAGUCCAAUAUACUCUUUCGGUUGUCAACGUUUUGCAGAUUAGGGUAUUUUUCUUGUAAGCCCGAGUUGAUGGUAACGCGAAAAUAAAGUUGAGCAAAUCAAAAAAUUUUAAAAGAGCAAAAAAUCUCUAGGCCUAGGUGUAGUUUUUCACAAUUUGCACGCUAAAUGUCUAAUUGGAAAAUGGGCUUCAGUAGUCAAAAAGGUUAUAGCGAGGAAGACUUUCUCUACUUAUACUUUUCUCAGUAAAGUUUCUCUUUUAUAAUAUUUUUUUUUUUUUUGCUUUGAUCAUCCGAUGCCCCCACCUUCAGUAAAACUAUCCAGAUUUGAUCUGAGGAGCGCUCGUAGAGUCCACCCUUAUUCGAGGGUGAAGGCUGGACCAAAACUUUUCAAAACAGCACAUGCAAGAGUCGAACAUGCAACCUCCCAUUGACAUUAGCAACCCAGUUAUCAAUUGUCCCAAAGCUCAUAAGUUUCUCUCUUUCACAAUUAACGAGCUCUGAAUGCAAACUUCUGCAUGUCCAAUCUAGUGUGCUUUCCUCCCUUCAGGGAAACUCUCUUUUUUUUUUUUCCCCUUUUUCUUUUGAGGUAGACCUAUGUAGACUUUAAAAGUCGUUGGUCUUUGUACUAAAGUCAUCUUUUUUUUUUUUUUUUGCUUGUUAGCCCCAGUUGAUGGUACACAAAACUUUAAGAGCAGUUUCCAUAUCAGAAAGGAUGGAAAAGUUCAAAUGAAUUGCCGUAUAAGUGUUGAUAGAAGUGUGGAUGUUGAGCAAAACUUCAAUGUGAUCUACAGAUAUCACAUAGUAAAUAUGUCAACUUAGCGUUUUGAAACAUCAAGAUCAGGCUUUAAUUAGUCAAGUCAUUCUUUCUUCUAUCAAUUUUGGGUCCAACUAUAGGUGGUUGUAUGUAAUUUUUCCAACUUUUUAUUCUUGUUACACACCACGUAAGUGGAAAACUUUUAAUGGUGUAUUGUAAUGGUACCAUCGUAAAUUUUCAUGUUGUAUUUUUAGUAUAACAAAUGAUGCACUUCAAUUCUCCACACCUUAUACUUACAAAAAAUAUGUUCUUCAAAGUCACCCUAAAUCGCAUCCCCAUUUAAAAAAGAAUAUGUCUGCUAAAUUGAGAUAAAAAAAGAAAAUUAUCAAUUUUGGUCGAAAAACAUUAAAAGCAGAAAGCUUACACACCGCGUCAUGAACAUCACUCCUUAAUGGUCAGUCUACACCAAAAGCCAGUUCAAACGUAUGAUUGCGCAAUUUUCUGCAAUGGGGCAGAAACAUGCAGCUAUGGCCUACUUAGCAAUUCUGCGCCACAAAAAAAAAAUAUAGUACUUGCAGAAGACAACUCAAUAUCUUAUCUUGUUUUUAUUCCUAGUUCCUACGAUUUAUUCUUCUCUUUUCUUCGUUCUUUUUCCACACGGAGAUGGCCAACCAAGUUGAAUGUUGACUGGGAAUCUCUUUUGAUUUAUUGAUGGAAGGAAAUUCUUAUCAUACUAUUUCAGUCAGAUUUUGUAGUAUUUGCAUUUCCAAGCAAUUUCAUACUGGGCUUCAUAUCCAUUGAUAUUUAGGACGAAGAUACAUUUAUUUUAUUGUACAGGAAAAUUCUACUGAGUGAUGGAAAAUGUAGCUGGGGUAAUUGACUAAAAUGUACUUGUAGCUAAUACUCUAACCCUUCUUUACCGGUAAAACCAACAGGCGGAUUGAUCAGAUGACUUUAGAAGAAGACUUUAGAUAUAUUAAGCAAGUGCUAAUACAGUGAGUAUUGCUGUACAAAGUUACAAGUUACAGAUCAUUGAGAGUAGUUUGCAAUUACCACAUGUGACUCGUUGUGGCUUCUAAUUUUCAAAACAAAAAAAAAAAAUCAACUGCAUAAUUAUGAAGAGCUUGACAAGAUAAAAUUAACUAAUUUUGUCAUUGAUUUAAAAUGUGUUUUAGUUCCACACUAGUCUACUCCAUUUCUUGGCUACAGAGUUGCACAGUUGUUCUGUUGACUCUUCAGAGCAUUUCGAAAAUUUCUUUCAUUGAAAGACGGUCAUUUGGGGUCAUUUGGACGCACCACAAUGCUUUCAAAACUAAACUAAUUUCCCCGCAAUUUCAUUUUCUUCUUCAGUCAUACGAUCUCCAAUUUCCUUGUCCUCCUCUUGGUUGAACUUUUCUCUUUGUAUUAUUAUAACAUUUUUGAUUGAUAAUCGUCACAGGAAGAUUAAUCAACUUCUAGAAUACCAACAAGCAUACUUUUCUUGUUGGGCUCCAUUGAUGGCCUAGUCUUUCUGUUGUUAUUGCUGUGUAAGAAAAUUAAAAUAACAUUUGCUCUGUUAGGCCGCAAUGGACCGUAACAUGAAAAUUUGGUUGAGCAGAAAAAUCCAACAGAAUCUAUAGCAAACGGAUAUAGCUAUAAACUGGGGAUGUCAACUUGAAAAUGCUUUUGGCUUGUUGCUUGAAAGCGAAUUCUUACAGCACAAAUUAUCAUAAAAAGGAGGUCAAGUGAAAGCUUUUGGACGUAUUGGCUUAUUGCUCAUAUUUAGAAAAUAUUAGAAAUAGUUUUACAGAAUAUUGGAAGCUACUGUCUACGAUAUAUCACAAUUGUAAAAUAACAAUCGACAUAUUAUGCAUAAGUCAAAAGCCACUCCUAAAGCUAAUGAAUUUCUUGAUUAACCACGGAUCAAUCUUUUAUCUUUCCCAAUUUGUUCAACUCAUCUCAAACAUUUACUCUUCCUAAAGGCAAGACUAAUUUUUUUCCCCUUUACAAUUCCUUCACCUAUAUUUUAAUUCAUAAUCAUUAAUUCUUUGGAAGUUAUACUUAUUUUAAGUUUUCAUUUAGAAUUUUUUGAUGAUUAUUAAUUUGUCAAAUAUUCUUAUUCUAAUAUUAUUUUUAUAUAUUUUAAUCACUUCAGCCAUUUUAGUUUUUAAACACGAGUAAUUUCGAUAUUUUUAUAGGUUCCGUUAUAAAUGAUUAUUUUCGUUAGUUUAAUACUUAAUCUAAAUUAUAAGGAGGUUAUAUAUAGCUUUUAAAACUAUAAAAGGAUUAUGUAAAAAAUAACUAUACCACGUGGGGGUAAAGUGUAUUUUGCCCUAAAAAAAAUGGCCACCAAACCCAAAUCACCUUUUCUCCCCCUUCUCCAUUUUCAUCUACCAAAACCCUAAGCAUAAGCCACCAAACCCAAACAAGAAUGUAAUUUUCCCAACCUUACAAAUGAAACUGGAAGCUCCACUAGGUUGAUGUUUCAAAUGAACCAAGAAGCAAGAAUUCCUCAAUAUGUUGAUGUACAAAUCCCUUCACCCAUGAGAACUCAUCGGGUCCUUUUGUGAUAAAAGGCCAAAACAAAAAUGAGUUUUAAUAAAUUUAUAGUUUAUACCUUCCUGCUAUGUAGGGAAUGCUAGUUGGAAAAUUAGCAAGGGAUAAUCUCAGUCAUUGCCUAAACAAUUUUAUGAUCUUCACUAUUGCUUUCGUAGCAGUGACCCUAUGUUGGAUCCCUACAAACCUGUGAGCACAAAAUCAGUAAAUUGAUGGUACCAAAUUGCAGGGAAAGGGAUCAAUCACAUGCCUAUGCUUUACUUACUCCAAUACAUGGUGCAAAAGUAUAUGAGAUUCCAGUAGCUCUAGUUUCAAGUGCAGUUGCAACUGCAAAAGUAUAUGGGAUUCCAGUAGCUCUAGUUUCAAGUGCAAUUGCAACUCCUAGCCUCUUCACAAGUUCUGGGGAUGGGAAAGAAAGCGUGGUUUGAGUUUGGUGGCUUAUUAUUAGAGUUUUGGUAGAUGAAAAUGGGGAAGAGGGAGAAAGGAUGGUUUGGGUUUGGCGGCAAUUUUUUUUUUUAACAAAGAGAACGAAGUGUAUUUCUAUUUUUGCCCUUGAAAAUAUGGACAUGUAACAGGGGUGUACAGUUUUUUAUUGGAGAAGUGAGAGGAAAUGAGUUCUAGAACCAAUUGGGUAGACUUUUUUAUAUAUUAGGAUCUAAUGUGGCUGAUUUUAAAUGUAAUGGACCAGAAAAAAAAUUUUGUUGAAAAUGUGAGGGACCAAUUUGGUAAUUGAUCCUCAAUAUUAAAUUAACUGGUCUUGACACAUCAUGAUAAGUUGUCAAUUAGUCAAAUGGUUUCAUUUUCUACUAUCAAUUUUGGGGUUCACGAAUUGAAGUCGUCUGUGGAAUUUUUGACUAAUAAAUCCGUAGAAUUCUACGAACCAUACUUUUUUGAGAUGGACUAGGUCUAAUGCUAGAAACUGGUUAGCAAAUGCAUUAAAAACUAGAUGCUGAACUCCACAGUCUCAAACCCUGAUUGGUUUCCUGAUAUCAAGACAUUUGCAAUUUGCAUGACAAAAUUUGUGGAAUUAUGAAUUUACUUGCAUACAGUCAGUCAACGGUCGUUUCACAUGACUAUUACAAUUGGUUUAGCUGAUUCCCAAUAUCCCUUUAACCAACUAAAUGUGGCUUUAUCAAAAGCAAUUUCGUGACAGAUUUAGAACAUCUCGCCAGCUGGAAGUAGACUUGACUGUUAACAUAUUCCUUGUGCUGCAGACCAUGAUCCUACCUUUGACGUUUACAGUGAAGAGCUCAGACAUGGAAACAGGGGGAUUGAUCACAGUGGCUAUUUGUUUUUCUGCUUAUAUCCACUGAGCAACUAAGUAUUGGCUUGGUGUUUUUCUUUUAUUUCCUUACUGCAUCAUAUCCGCUGUAUUUAGGACUAAUUCAGCGAUGCAAAUCAAUACUUCCACUAACUUUCAGUUGCUUUUUAAACUAUUGUCACGGUUAAUUUGUAUAAUGAAAUCUUCAAGUGAUCCAAACUCGGUCCAAUCACAUGUGGGCUGGUGGCCACCACCUAAGUGGGUGGGGUGGGAGGUAAGGGUUCAGAGCUAGUCUCCCACCAAAAAUGCUACAUUUAAGUAGUUUGUUUCUAAAAAAAUCCAGACGGGUGUGCUGUGCACCCGUCUGGUCCAGUGGUAGUUUAUUCCCCUCCGCAUUACCCCUAUACCUCCUUAGCUCCGGCCCCUCCCCCUUAGUGUAGGAUAGAUUAGGUUUAUCGUCUCCGAAAAAAAAAUCCAUUUACCUAAAUUUACCCAUAUCCGCCCAUGAAUAGAUGUGUAUGGGUAUAUUAAAUUUUUGCAUAUGAGUAUAAAUGGGUUACCCAAUAAUACCCAUUUAAUAAAUGGAUAUUAUUGGAUAACCCAUCAAACCCAAUUAACCCAUUUAAAACUGUCUUCUCUCAUACCAUCUCUCUUCCCCCACCCUUUUUUUUUUCAAAAUUUUCAUUUUAUCAAGAUGUUAACUACUUUUGUUUCAUUAUUAUUAUUAUUAUUAUUUGUUGGUUUUAUCUUAUCAUUUUAUUUUCUUUUAGUUUGUUAACUUGCUCAUUUUUCAACAUUACUAAUUUAUGACAAGUUUUAGCCUCUUUUCUUACUUUUUCAAAAUGAAAUUUUAAGUUUACACACAAAAAAAUACUAGAGGUUCAAAAUUUUUGAAUUAAGUUUUUAUAUUAACUUUUAUACUACUUAGUUCAAAUUUUUAUAUUCUUAUUGUUUAAUUAUUAAAUAGUAUGUAAUUUUGCGACAUAGAGUACGGAUGGGAAAAAAUUUAUAAUUAGCCUUAUUGAGCAUUAUAAGUAAAUAUUUAAAACUAAUGAUGGGUGUAAAGGAUGGUAUAAAUUGAUAACUUAGUUUGUAAAAAUGAAUUUACAAAAAAUUAAAAUAAAUGGGUUAUAAAUGGGUAAUUGGGUUACCCAAUUCAUUUUUGACUUACCUAUUUAUACCCAUCUAUUUUUUGAUGGGUAUAAAUGGAUUGAUUCACUUAUACCCAUUAUCCAUUUUAUCCAAUCCAAAUCCGCCCAAAUCACUCAUUUUGACACCUCUAUGCAUAUCACACAAUACCUGCAUUACUGGGACAUGCUGAGCAAAAGUAAAUUCAGUGUUAACGCAUAAAAUAAAGAAGCGUACUUGCUACUAUAUAUCGUAGUUGUAUUGAAGAAAUUAGAUAUUGCAGGUAAAUUUCUUUUGGUCUUCGUGUUAUUUAUUUUAGAGAUGAAAAGCAAACUUAAAACUGAGCGUUUGACAACAGGUCCAAUUAUAGGAUUUCUUUUUCUUGCAGUAGCAAUUAGUGCAGUUUGCCACAUUCAUUCCAGAAAGGAAAUAGACAAAGAAAACCAAAUGAGAAUCAGUAUAGUUUUAGCAGACUGCUGAUGGAUUCAAACGAGCUCUUCUUUAUGAGUUCCUACCAAAUGGUUCUUUAUGAGGUUAUACUAAAUUACUAAUUAAAUUUUUUAUUAAUUAUACAGUUUUUUUUUUUACACUAAUUAUACACUUCUUUUCCCUGCGGAUGUGGGUGGGACGGGGCAGGGGGAGCGAGUGACAGGGGAUGGAGCGGGGAAAUGUUUGGGCAAUAGGUUAUGCUGCAGCUCCUUCAAGAGCAUUUUUUACUACAUUUUUUUUUAAUUUCUUUUGAAUAAUCUCCUCUACAUUACAUCAAUUUCUUUCUUUUCACUCCUUAAAGUGAUGUUGAAAGUGGGACGGAUGCUGAUUUCAAAUCCUAUUAGUAUAAAACUCUUAUGGUUGGAGACAAAGAUGAUGAUUGAUAUGCAAUAUUUAUAAGUUUGAUGGGUUUUUUUUUUUUAUUUGUAGUAUUACACAUUUACACUGUAGUGCAUUUAUAUUGGGAAAUUGGAUUAUAUUUUCUUAAUUUCUAGAAACUUUGAUGGAAGCAUUUUUUAAAAAAAAAUCAAAUAGAUUGAGUAUUUCCCGCCUUUAUUCGGAAGUCUCUAAACUUUUAUUUUUUAAAUCUAUUUCUAGAAUACUUGUAUUUUUAAUUUCCCAUACCUGGCCGGUUGAACCAAUUGGACUGAAGCCGAACACUUGGCCAGGUCACCGCCGAGUUUAAACAACAAAUACCCGGCUGACUUAAAUUUGCAAGUCGACUGGUGAUUGGGUAUUAGAUUUUGGUUCCCCAAAUGCAAACCUAUGGAAGCUUGUCCAAAGGAAAAUAGUUAUACCCCUUCCAGUACUUGUAGGGAUCCUUUUUACAUGGAGAAAAAGAUGACUGCUAGUAGCUCGAUGCAUUCUUAAGGACUCAUUUCGCUUCCUUCUGUGUUUUUAGAGAGAGAGAGAGAGAGAGUAUUAUAGCAAUUUUGCAAAUCCUGUUUAGAUCUACUUGCUAGUUAAUUCGUCCGUGCUUGAUUUGUAUUCUGCAGUUAAAAAAAAGGCUCACAUGACAUACAAAGCUAUCAAUCUGCAAUAAGAUAGCCAAUUUAUGAUAUCAACAGGUAAUAAAAUCUGACAAAGAGUCGUUGAUUUCCAAUGGCGGCCUGUCAAUUUCACAUGCAAGUGCAUGAUGAUUUAGAAACCAGGAACUAGAAAGUUUGCAGCUGAAGAUAUGGGAUCACAAUUACAAUCAACAUUGAUUUCAACGGUAGCACGAUCCCUUGUUUGGCACAAACUAGAGGUUCUGCAAAGAAAAGUGAAAUAUGAGAGAACACAAAUUGAGAAAGCCACGCCUUUUCGUGUCCUGAAGAAAAACCUAGAUUUACUUCAGCCACCAUUAUUACAGAAGCUUGAAAAUACUCAUAAGAACUUCCUGUAUGGCCUCCCUGCAUCCUCAU
This 12096-nucleotide long non-coding RNA is filed under the name Coffea arabica (coffee). Its description in RNAcentral is "long non-coding RNA (CARA_LNC004335)". The record is from RNAcentral. Lineage: Eukaryota; Viridiplantae; Streptophyta; Magnoliopsida; Gentianales; Rubiaceae.